This 27-nucleotide small RNA is filed under the name Bombyx mori (domestic silkworm). RNAcentral describes it as "ovarian small RNA-34449". Lineage: Eukaryota; Metazoa; Arthropoda; Insecta; Lepidoptera; Bombycidae. The record is from RNAcentral.
UGGAACUCUGGUGGGUGUGUUGUUGGU